This 992-nucleotide long non-coding RNA is filed under the name Homo sapiens (human). Its description in RNAcentral is "LHRI_LNC1288.17". The record is from RNAcentral. Lineage: Eukaryota; Metazoa; Chordata; Mammalia; Primates; Hominidae.
GUGUGGGGCGGGAGCGGACAACGGAGACCAGACCUACUGCAGCCACGCGGGCGAGCGGCUGUGUGGAUGUCGGCGAAGCCGCGGGCGAGAAUCUCACUGUGUCACCCAGACUGGAGUGUAGUGGUGCAAUCUCGGCUAACUGCAACCUCAACCUCCCAGGCUCAAGCAAUCCUCUCACCUCAGCCUCCCUAGUAGCUGGGACUACAGGAUGCCUGGGGCGUGGGGGGCAGAAUGUCAGCCGGCAAAGUGGGGACCGGAGUACCCGGGAAGCUGGGAUGAAGGAGCCUCCUCUGCAGCCUCGGUGGAAGAUGGGGCCAAGGGAAAGUCCAGAGCCUGGGCCAUCUCCAGCCUCACUCACCCUCCUCCCUCACCUGGUCCCUGGGCUGAGGAUCAUGGCCCGGCCUGAGAACCCCCAAGGCAGCAUGCAGAGGCCGGGUCUGCACCGAGCCCUGACACUGACAGGCUGUGUGACGACGACUGACAACUAACCCUCUCUGGUUUUACUUUCUAUCACCUCUUAGGCAGAGCAGUGGGCGCAGAUGCCAUGGCGGGAAGCAGGCCUUUCUGAAUUCUUAGCAGCGAUCUCCAGGGGCACUCUAACCUUGCAAGAAAGAGGCUGCCAGUCUUGCAUCAGAUGCAGAAACCAGGGCGCAGAGUAGGAGCUAGAGCAUCUUGGAUGGAGAAACCUCGGCAAAGACAAAGGCCCAUUGUCCCCCUUCCCCGGCCUUCUGCCAGCUCCCUCCCCAGUCACCAGAGGAGGCCAGCCCUGCCCACCCCACAGCCCCCAGAGGCUGCCAGGCGCCAAUAUGGGGUAACUCAGCGCCCCCUCCCUUGCCAUUGGUUGACGAUGCCUGGAAUCCCACCAUCAGAGCUUUGUUAAGGUUGCUGUGGGAUGGGUGGCAGGGAGGCAGCAAAAGACAAGAAGGUGGUGGGGACCUCUGGCUUGUGGAUUUCAUAAUCAGACCUUUAUGGUGGGCUUGGGUAGGAGAUCA